RNAcentral lists this ribosomal RNA (495 nucleotides) under uncultured Ascomycota. Its description in RNAcentral is "eukaryotic LSU rRNA". The stretch from base 162 to 315 matches the Rfam family "5.8S ribosomal RNA". The record is from RNAcentral. Lineage: Eukaryota; Fungi; Ascomycota.
CAUUACAAGUGACCCCGGUCUUACCACCGGGAUGUUCAUAACCCUUUGUUGUCCGACUCUGUUGCCUCCGGGGCGACCCUGCCCUCGGGCGGGGGCUCCGGGUGGACACUUCAAACUCUUGCGUAACUUUGCAGUCUGAGUAAACUUAAUUAAUAAAUUAAAACUUUUAACAACGGAUCUCUUGGUUCUGGCAUCGAUGAAGAACGCAGCGAAAUGCGAUAAGUAAUGUGAAUUGCAGAAUUCAGUGAAUCAUCGAAUCUUUGAACGCACAUUGCGCCCCCUGGUAUUCCGGGGGGCAUGCCUGUUCGAGCGUCAUUUCACCACUCAAGCCUCGCUUGGUAUUGGGCAACGCGGUCCGCCGCGUGCCUCAAAUCGACCGGCUGGGUCUUCUGUCCCCUAAGCGUUGUGGAAACUAUUCGCUAAAGGGUGUUCGGGAGGCUACGCCGUAAAACAACCCCAUUUCUAAGGUUGACCUCGGAUCAGGUAGGGAUACCC